RNAcentral lists this long non-coding RNA (397 nucleotides) under Ananas comosus (pineapple). RNAcentral describes it as "long non-coding RNA (ACOM_LNC037600)". The record is from RNAcentral. Lineage: Eukaryota; Viridiplantae; Streptophyta; Magnoliopsida; Poales; Bromeliaceae.
AGUAUCAAAAACAUAAACUACUAAGUUAUUAUAGCAUUCAACUUAGAUGCAUUUUACAACAUAAUUUUUUCUUUUACAAUCAACCUCCAAAUACAAUCAUAAUUAUUACAGAUUCUUUUACAACUUAAACAAAAGUUUGUUCUUGUCUUUAAACCUCCCAAGCUAGACCACCAACUCGGGUACUGCUAUCUCAGUCUCUGGGUAGGACGCUAUCUGCAGAACUACGUCCUCGCCUUGCGCCGCCGCGCCGCACACGUGUGUACCUGUACCCCCAAAACAGCAACACGGGGGUGAGACUAUUGUCCAUAGUCCUCAGUGGGUUUAGCCACCCAAGAGAACAAGCUCAGCCAACAGGUCUAACGAGGCACUGCAACAUGUUAGAUCAACAAUAUACNNN